RNAcentral lists this long non-coding RNA (206 nucleotides) under Gallus gallus (chicken). Lineage: Eukaryota; Metazoa; Chordata; Aves; Galliformes; Phasianidae. The record is from RNAcentral.
UGGAAAUCCCCUGGAAAUACAUUCUGGGAUACACAAGGUGACAUGUGACAGAAGGGCAGUCUGACAGAAUGGCAUCUGACAUGGCAGCACAUAUGAAGAUGUGUCACUCUACACAUGCCUCUUCCACAUGCCUCCAUGCGGAAAAAAUGGCACCCACUGACAUUCAUUGACACCUGCUGAACAUCUGUGGAGUCCAAACAGUGAAU